AUGGGAUUGUAUGAUCAGCCAAAAAGAUGUGGUGGUAUGGGCUUCCGAGAUUUACAAUUGUUCAAUCAGGCCCUUUUGGCUAAGCAAGCCUGGAGGUUAAUUGAAUAUCCUGAUAGCCUCUGCGCCCAAGUACUCAUGGCCAAAUAUUAUCCCAAUGGGGUGCUUAUAGACACGGUCUUCACAGGCAAUGCUUUGUCAACCUGGAAAGCAAUUGAGUAUGGACUCGAACUACUUAAGAAAGGAAUUGUAUGGCGCAUAGGAAAUGGAGCAGAAGUCCGGAUAUGGAGAGACCCAUGGAUCCCCCGUGGUCCUUCUUGUCGGCUCAUCACUUUGAGGGGUCGAUGUCACCUCAAAGGGGUUGCUGAACUGCUGCGUACUGAUGGAACUUGGAAUACAACACUCCUACAUCAAUAUUUCCACCAAGCUGAUAUUGAGGAGAUUGUGAAAAUUAAACGAUCACAGAGAUUGGAGACAGACUUCGUGGCUUGGUUCCCGGACAAAAAAGGCCACUUCUCUGUAAAGAGUGCGUACUCCCUUGGCUUAUAG
This 546-nucleotide ribosomal RNA is filed under the name Triticum aestivum (bread wheat). RNAcentral describes it as "partial small subunit ribosomal RNA". The record is from RNAcentral. Lineage: Eukaryota; Viridiplantae; Streptophyta; Magnoliopsida; Poales; Poaceae.